RNAcentral lists this long non-coding RNA (386 nucleotides) under Ananas comosus (pineapple). RNAcentral describes it as "long non-coding RNA (ACOM_LNC029963)". The record is from RNAcentral. Lineage: Eukaryota; Viridiplantae; Streptophyta; Magnoliopsida; Poales; Bromeliaceae.
AAUAUUACAAUUAUAAAAUUAGAAUUUUAUUUUACACUAUUUAUAUAAUUUAGAUAAUAAUAUGUUACAGGACAUUUCUAAACUAUGAACCAUUUUAAAUUUACUAUCUAACCUUUAAAUUUAAAUUUUACUAUCAAACUUUUCAAUUUAUUUGAAUCGAGUUAGUCGAAGGCACUCGAACUUCAAAAUUUAAGCUAAUUAUUUAUUUCAAUGAAUUGUAUGAAAUAUGAUAAUUAAAUCUAUAAAAAUAAACGGUAUAUUUAAAUUUUAAAGUUGAAGUAGUCUUGACUGACUCAAAUAAAAUAAAUUUUAAAAAAAGUAAUAAUAAAAUUAAAAUUUUAAAAGAUUUGGUGCUAACUCCGAAUAAUUUAUAUUUCAGAUAAGUU